This 423-nucleotide unclassified non-coding RNA is filed under the name Hevea brasiliensis (rubber tree). Lineage: Eukaryota; Viridiplantae; Streptophyta; Magnoliopsida; Malpighiales; Euphorbiaceae. The record is from RNAcentral.
AACGUUGGUCAUCUUAUAUUCAUCGUCCCAGAGUCGCUGUCCGGAAAAGCCGUCUGGGCAAACUUAAGAAGUGUGUGGACAGGUUAAAAUCAGCAACAUUGCUGGAAAUUGAUUUUUCAGCCCCCGAAAAGCCGAAAAACAGGUUGAUAUACAGAGAGUAUACACUGGUAGACAUUAUUAAUAUGCCUUGAAUACUUGGAAAACGUGUCCAGGCAAUGGAGAACUCAAAAAUACAAAGUUUUGAUUGAAAUCGCAGGUUUGGGAGAGCAAAAACCGUCAAUAUACACAGCAUAUACAUCAAAUAUACACUCAAGGUGUAUCAUGAUUUUGAAGGAAAUAGGCUCAAAGGCCCUGAAAAUUGCAGCGGCAGUAUUUGGGCCUAAGGCCCAAAUUUGAUAUCUCCACUCUUUCUUAUUUAUUUAU